GACGAAGGAUGCAAGCGUUAUCCGGAUUCAUUGGGUUUAAAGGGAGCGUAGGUGGACUGAUAAGUCAGUGGUGAAAUCUUUGGGCUUAACCCAAAAAUUGCCAUUGAUACUGUCGGUCUUGAGUAUAGUUGCCGUUGGCGGAAUAUGACAUGUAGUGGUGAAAUACAUAGAGAUGUCAUAGAACACCGAUUGCGAAGGCAGCUGACGAAACUAUAACUGACACUGAGGCUCGAAAGUGUGGGGAUCAAACAGG
RNAcentral lists this ribosomal RNA (253 nucleotides) under uncultured bacterium. RNAcentral describes it as "partial 16S ribosomal RNA". It matches the Rfam family "Bacterial small subunit ribosomal RNA", at positions 524 to 776 of the family's 1533-position model. The record is from RNAcentral.